RNAcentral lists this ribosomal RNA (327 nucleotides) under Triticum aestivum (bread wheat). Its description in RNAcentral is "partial small subunit ribosomal RNA". Lineage: Eukaryota; Viridiplantae; Streptophyta; Magnoliopsida; Poales; Poaceae. The record is from RNAcentral.
AUGCUUGGUGUGGAGAAGCACGGGAGGAUGAGUAGGACGGGCAUGGGGAAGGAGCAGCCAGGCCGGAGCUCCGGCGUUGCUCGUGUCAUGGUCGAAUGGAGCCGGCCAUCACUAUGGGCUUCUGCUCGCCGGUCGUUGUUCCCCAAUCUCAGUUGCUCAUCUUUGGCUUCACCAUCUUCCUCCCCUGAUCAUGCAUCUAUUUUAGAUCAUAUAAUUAUGCUAUAUCAUAUAUGUUGUUUAGUUCUGACUUGUGCAUGUGCAUGCAUUGGCAUUGAUUUAGACAGAGAUAUUGCAUAUUUGUACAUAGAAGGAGUACGGAUGAUCUAG